UAGGCUGCAACUCGCCUACACGAAGUUGGAAUUGCUAGUAAUCGUGGAUCAGCAUGCCACGGUGAAUACGUUCCCGGGUCUUGUACACACCGCCCGUCACACCAUGGGAGCUGGUAACACCCGAAGUCAGUAGUCUAACCGCAAGGAGGACGCUGCCGGAGGUGGGAUUAGCGACUGGGGUGAAGUCGUAACAAGGUACC
This 200-nucleotide ribosomal RNA is filed under the name uncultured bacterium. Its description in RNAcentral is "partial 16S ribosomal RNA". It matches the Rfam family "Bacterial small subunit ribosomal RNA", at positions 1301 to 1500 of the family's 1533-position model. The record is from RNAcentral.